RNAcentral lists this long non-coding RNA (10118 nucleotides) under Malus domestica (apple). Its description in RNAcentral is "long non-coding RNA (MDOM_LNC013422)". The record is from RNAcentral. Lineage: Eukaryota; Viridiplantae; Streptophyta; Magnoliopsida; Rosales; Rosaceae.
UUAUAUAGUCCCUUCAAUUAAGUGACCUAGAGAAUAAAAGGCCUUUCUUUCAACAUAUGGCCGGCCAUCUUAGGGCUUUUGGGCUGUUUGGGCCCUCUUGAAUCUUUAUUCAUUAAGUUGUCAUACAACUUAAGUUAAUGGACUUGACAUUCGACGCCCAUUGGGCCUUAAUGCCCAAAACUAACUUGAGGUCUUUGACGAACUUUAUUCGUUUGAUUAAUUAAUAUAUUAAUUAAUCCUUGCCAUAAAUAAUUAAACCAUUUAAUUAUCCUUAUCUCCAUUGUUUCUUCAAUCUACCUUAUACGGUGUACGAUCCAUUAGGUUCCUUUUAGUGAGGCAGUGGGCGAUUAGAACUCUUUCAAAUCGAUUGUGAAUUGAAACUUACUUUCAAUUCUACCUUUAGUGAUUAUACACGUUUAGGGCUUCCACAAACCAUGAGUGACACCUAACAGUAUGUCAUGGUUACCCAAGCUAAUCAGAAGAGGUGGAGAACCUAUUCAGUUUAGGAUUACAAUGCAAUACGGUCUUUCUCUAAUACAAUACUCUUGACCACAUUGUUCGGUUUGAUAGUUUAAUCAUGUCUACUAUCCAAUGUGAUUCAUUUACUUAUAUGAUUACCUUGAAUGUGAUUUGGAACGUCUUCCUAAAUCUCAUUCAUACUCUGGCCAGAGAUUCUUAAUCAUAUCAUAGAGUAUUCUCCCUUAAACGGUUUGAAGGUUAGAUAUCCCUUGUUGCGCAUUCACUUGCCUCCAUGGCUAAGUGGCUUAACCCUAACUAUGCCGUGGACACCCUCUGACAGAGUGACUUUGACAUAGUGAAAGAUCAAUGACCUAACCACAAGACAACUAUGAUGCCUCAGGUCAAAAGACUACUUUGCAUUAUCCCUACCAUGAGUUCUCAAGUGACAUGAGUAUGAGAACUCCUCGUUGAUCGUGUUCAGUGGACUCAUUCUCUAUUGAGCACCUACAUGCUUGUCUUAGUGUUAAUCACACCAAUGACUCGAGACCAGUCACUCUCUCUAAGAGAAGACACAGCACGUUCUGAUCUUAACGGACUGUCAAUACCUAAUUGGCAAUCCUAUGAUCAAGAAUGUUUAGGAUAUUUAUACGAAAAAGAAUGGUCUCAUGAAUCCGACUUCUUUAAAUUACAUUCUCCUAAUUACAUAUUCCUUAGACUUAUCGUUUAAGCAUAUAACAUUUAUAUGAGACGGCUUAAAACAAUAAUCUUUGCCCUUGAUAUUAAACUAGAUUAGUUUAACAUGUGAAAUGUCCGUAAAGUAUCAUCAUAUGAUUGGUUUUAGGGCACAUUUCCAACAAUCUCCCACUUACACUAGAGGCAAUCAACUUGGUCAUCAAUGAUAUCUAUAUGUUAUCCAUAUGUUAUCCAUAGAAGCAACCUUGAGAAUAAUGACGUCACCAUUAUACAUGAUUCUUAAUCAUGUGGUUUAGUCUCUCAUUUGAGUUUGGAUCACGAUGAGACCUUGAUUCCCUGGCUUGAGCUAUCGCCCCAUUAGUGUCGUAGUGUCGGUACACUAGAGACACUUUCUGGUUGGAACCGAAUAGAGAGUUCAUGGAUGAACUUUCUUAUCCAAACAACCUUGUUGUAAGCUUCUAUAUGGCAAUAUAUUUUGCAUUCACAAUGGAACACACUAAAGUCAUUACUUUUAAUGUUUCCAUCCAAAUAUCUCUUUAGUCAUAAUAAAGAGAUAUCUGAUUAUCUCUUCAUUCAUAAUGAAGAAACAUCCAAUGAUGGAUUAGAUUUAUAAUCUAAUACAUUUACACUUCCAUUACGUUACUCUAAUUCUUCCUCAUUCUUGAGGAAUCCAUCCUUUAUUAUUUCUCAAAUACUUAAGGAUUCACUUGACAGUUGCCAUGAUUCUGAUCCUGGGCUUGCAUUGAUAUCAUCUUGUACCGAUCUUGGUACAACUUAUAUCAACGUUUUUCAUACAAUAUGAAAUACAUAAAUCACCUUUUGCGUAUACAUAAAGGAUUCUCUAUUUACGCAUUAUUUCUUUGGGAGUCAAAGGGUACGUUCCCUUUGAGAAGAGCUACCUCCUAGUCUUACUAGAGUUGUUUUUCUGAUUAAAGUUUAUCAUCAUAUGAGAAACUUCCUAGCAUCUUUUGUCUAUCUUUAGGGCUUGAUAUAAUCCAAUUAUAUCCUGAAAUCUAUCAUUAUAGAUUUCCAUCCCAUGUUUAUAGACUAUGUCUCCCAUAUACAUUCUAUCGUUAUAGAAUGUUUAAAGUCAUAACUUUAACGAAGAAGUAUUCUUUUCAUUUCCAAAAUUAAUAUAUCAUAUAUGUGUAUAUAUAUAUUCAAAAUUUAGGAACAUGAUUAACUCCCACUAAUCUUUUGUAAACCUAGUAAACAAAAGAUUUAUUUACAUCUUUACGAGAAAUCAAACGAUUUGAUCUUUCUCUCAUAAGACGCUUAUAGCUCCCACUAGCUUGCUAAGAUUCAUGAUGGAUGAAUCUCUACAACUUACAUGUCUUGUGAUUCAUAGUUUUAGACAUAUAUUAUCAAGACUAUCUUAAUAAUGGUUUCGGAAACCCAUAUUAUGUCCAAACAUUGAAUCACCAUUUAGUUGUAGCUAGCAAUCUUCGAAUUAAUUGAAACCAAGACGACGUCAAAGAUGGUUUCUUCAAAGUCAACCAAUCUCUUUGAUUGUAGUCACCUUAAGAUACCAAUUAGCUAUAAAGGUUUCAUUAUUUCGGGUCAAAUGGUACUUUACCAUUUCCUUGAGUAUAUGUCGUAUAUACACUCAAUGUAGUCAUAAGGAUUUUCAUUCUUAUUUCUUUCGAAUUAAGAGGUGUAACUCUAUGACAUAAUCAUAAAGUUCAAACCAUUCAACUGAGAUAGUUUAUAAAUCCUUCUCGACUACCUUGGAGCUUGUGGUAUAGGAACUAGGUUGUUAUAUUUGUUGAUCACUUUCUUGUCUCUCAAAGAACCCAUUCUUUGAGUUCUAUCCCUCGUUCAUUUGCUCUAUCUUAGGCAAAUCCUAGUGUAGGAUUACAAUGAACUACCCAACAAACAACAUUUGUUAGUUGGUUUAUAGAAGUGAUAUCCAAAUGUUAAUUUAAGGAUACCCACAAGAUAAUUCUUUAAACAAAUAUUGCUUAUUAGCACACAACCCCAAAUCUUAACAUGAUUAAGAUUUGUCUUUCUUUCCAACUACAUGCUAUGGAGUCAUGAAAAUUUUGGAAGAUCUUCUAAUUGACAAUCAUAUUGUCUUAGAAGUAUAUAUCCUAUAUAUCGGUAAUUGAUAACAUCCAACGAACUAAAUCUUAUUCGAGUUCAUUCUUCUCUUAAUGGAGAAAUCCAUUAUCUUAUGAUGCUUCUUGCCUUGAUAUCUUUCAAGGAAACUGUUCUAAAGUGUUACCUUUCCUUGGAUCAAAUCUAAGGAGGUAAAUACUUUAGACAUCUUACUCAUCAACUUACAUUUCUUGAAUUCUUUGAAACCUUUUGCAAAGUAUUCGGACUUGUGUUUAUUCAAAAUAAAUGAUAGUCCAACCGAGAGCGAUCUUCGGUGAAUGUCAUACAACAUGAGUAGUAUUAUGUUGUGGACAAGUGCCACUAACAUCUAAGUGAAUUGACCUCAACAAUUUUGCUCUAUACAAUUUUUACAAGAAGGUAUUUGAUCCAGAUCUAACGAUCCAAAGCAUCCAUCUAUGACCAACUCGUAAUUUAUGUUUUAGAGGUAUCACAACUCAGUUGGGAUUAGUCACUACCUUGCAACCUUUUGGGUUUUAAGCAUUGUUAUAUUCUAAACAGUUAAUACUACCAUAUCAUCUCUACUAUAGAGAUAAUCAAUUAGAUUACAAUAAUCUAAUCAUUCAUUAAUAAAGAACAAUGUUUUGUCAAACAAAACAUUCAUCCAUUUCUCAUACGGAAUUAAGUUCCUUUAUUCAAAUUGGAAUGUAAAGACAAUCUUUGUUUUUCCAUUUUCUUUGGUAGUUCAUAUGAGGAAGUAAGUACUACCUGCUUUCACAGAGAUCUAUAUUUGAUUCACGUUUCGAAUGUGAAGUACUUUAUCUUCUCUCAUUAAUCUUCUACUUCUUAUUAGCCACACUUUUCAACGAUUGUAAAACAUAGUUACUAAUACGGAAUCAAGCAUUCAAGUAGAAGAACUAACUGUUUUGAACUAUUCAAGAACAAUUUACAACACCUUCGAAAGGUGUGUUCUUGAUACUUGCAAGACAUUUCUUGCAAAUACCCCUUCCAAUGUCCAUCCUUUCAUAAAGAAAGUUUGUUACCUUGUAGUUAUUUCGCCUUCUUCAUUUGACUUCUCCUUUGACUACAAUAGUCAUGGUCCCUAAACUCCCACUAUCUCUCUUGAAACUUAUUUCAAUUGUGUUAUAUACAUCAAACAAUUUGGAGAGCGUGUGGUUAUUGUUCACUAUAUAGUUUACAAUAAACUUAGUGAACCAUUUGGAUAGGGACACAAAGGUGAAGUCCUUGCCUAGUUUCCAUCUCUAGAAGUGGUUUAACACUUCAACACUCAAUGAUUCAAAAUCAUCAUAAGUCCAUGUUGAUGGACUAUUUUUGUCAACCAACCAUUAUGUUCUAAACAUAAUUACAAACUUUCAAGAGUUGUUCAAGGCAACUCUGAUUUCUUCAUACAACAAUUUGUCAAUGAAGAAUCAUGGCACAUAAAGUGUCCAUGCCCUUGUGUUUACUUCAAGUUCCUUGUUCAUGUAACAAAGAAACAAGCACUAAUGUUUGCGUUAGCUAAGGGUUGUUCAAAGCAACUCUUAUUUCUUCAUACCACAAUCUGUAAUUGAAGAAUUAUGACAUUAAAAUGUUGUCCUCUUUAUGAUAGACUUAUCUAACAUGUUCUUCCCAUGAUACAUUAUCAAUAGGAAGAUUGUGAGGAUGAGACUACUUAGGUACAUAUACAAGCCAUUAUAGACAAUCUACGGGAUUGUAGCACCAAGUCCGGAAACUAAAGCUUUCGGCUUUUUCUUUGUCAAGUUUUGGAUAGCGUUUGCAAAUAUAUUGGUAAAUAAAUACAUAACGAAUAUAAAUUGAUUGAUUUUAAGCCAUUUGAUCAGGGUCUUUAAAUCAAAUAGCACCACCCACUAUUUUUGGCAAAUUCCAUAUCCCUUAUUGGAAUUCGAGAGUUUUGGAGGAAACUCUUAGUAGGGUAUGGGAGACUCAUCAUUACCAAGCCCACCUCACAAUGAUAUGAUAUUGGCUAGCAUCAAUAAUAAUGAGAGAGUACGCUUACUCAUUUGCAUCUCUUGCAAGUACCCAUCUUAUUUGGCCUCUAGAGAAUGAAGCCUCACAAUGAUAUGAUGUUGGCUCCAUUGCACUUAGUUAAGUCAUUCCCACCAUGCAAGUUCGAGUAGGGGUUCAAGAACAACCUCACAAUGAUAUGAUGUGGAUCAUUCUCGUUGCCGACCUUCACAACAUCAUGUAUGCAUAUAGAACUCCUCCUGAGUGUAAGCACGCACUUUGUACUCCCCCAUGAUAGGGUGAAGUCGGUGUACGAGUCACAAACGAUCGGAGCCUACCACGGUGGAAGGCCACGAAAGAGUGUUCAAAGCACUCUCACGCUUAUCAACUUAAUAAUGGUUUGGUUGAGGGUUUUAGGUCUCAUCACAUAUAAGCAUGCAUUUUAAUCUUAUUAAAACAAUUUGGUCCUAUUGCAACUAUUGGUCCAUGUGAUUGAUUUAGUUGUACAUGAUACUCCCACUAUGCUUGUAAAACGAUUUUUAAAGCAAGAGUAUAUGGUACUACUAACAUAAGGUUUGCAUUCAUUGAUGGACUAUAUAGUUGCCUUAAGGCCUUAGGAUGACUAUGAUUGAUUCGAUCCAACACGAGCCUAGUGUUGAAUCUCGGUCUAGGGAUGGUGAUUGAUUUUAGUUACGUGUUUAAUCAUAUUAAGGCUUGUUUUUCCUAUUGGGCGUUGGACCCAACUACUCCAAUUUCAUGCAUAUCAAAUCAAACAAGAAAGGAGUACUUCAAAGUAAAGAAGACUUUAUGCUCAUUUACAACAUUUGAUCAAAACAAAUUACUUUAAAGUAAAGAAGAGCUUAUGCUCUUUUACAACAUUUGAUCAUAUCAAAUUACAACCAAAAUCUAAUCUACCCAUUCCCAUGGUUCAAACAAAUUUGAGAUGGCCUUUCACAUAGCUCAAUUAUUGUAGGCAUAGGUUCAUAAUCACCCUUUCUUUAAUUAAUUAACACUUUAACUAAUUAAACUUGAAUGCAACUGUUGGAAAUGUGCCCUAAAGCCAAUCAUAUGAUGAUACUUUACGGACAUUUCACAUGUUAAACUAAUCUAGUUUACAUAUAAAGUGCAUAGAUUAUUGUUUGAGCCGUCUCAUAUAAAUGUUAUAUGCUUAAACGAUAAAGUCCAAGGAAUAUGUGAUUGGGAGAAUGUAAUCUAAUGAAGUUAGAUUCGUGAGACCAUUCUUUCGUAGACACAUCCUGAAUGUUCCUGAUCAUAGGAUUGCCAAUUGGGCAUUGACAGUCCGUCAAGAUCAGUACGUGCUAUGUCUUCUCUCAGGGAGAGUGACUAGUCUCGAGUCAUUGGUGUGUGUGACAUCAAGACAAGUACGUAGGUGCUCAGUAGAGAAUGAGUUCACUGAACGCGAUCAACGAAGAGUUCUCAUACUCAUUUCACAUGAGAACUCAUGUUUGGGAUAAUGCAAAUUAGUCCUUUGACCUGAGGCAUCACAGUUGUCUUGUGGUUAAGUCCUUGAUCUUUUAUUAUGUCAAAGUCACCCCAUCGGGGUGUCCACGGCAUCGUUGGGGUUAAGCCACUUAGUUAUGGAGGCAAAUGAAUGCGCAACAAGGGAUCUCUAACCUUCAAACCGUUUGAGGGAGAAUACUCUAUGAUAUGAUUUAGAAUCUCUGGCCAGAGUAUGAAUGAGAUUUAGAAAAGUCGUUCUAAAUCACAUUCAAGGAAAUCAUAUAAGCACACAAAUCACAUUGGAUAGUAGACAUGAAUAAAUAAACUAUCAAACCAAACAAUGUGGUCAGGAGUAUUAGAUUAGAGAAAUACCGUAUUGCAUUUGUAAUCCCAAACUGAAUAGGUUUUCUCUACCUCUUCUGAUUAGCUUGGGUAACCAUGAUAUGCUGCAAGGUGUCACUCAUGGUUUGUGGAAGCCCUAAACGUGUGUAAUCACUAAAGGGAGAAUUGAAAGUAAGUUUCAAUUCACAGUCGAUGUAAAAUGGUUUUAAUCGCCCACUGCCUCGCUAAAAGGAACCUAAUGGAUCGUACACCGUGUAAGGAGGAGAUUGAAGAAACAAUGGAGAUGAGUAAGAAUGAUUAAAUGGUUUAAUCAUUUAUUUAUGGCAAGGAUUAAUUAAUAUGUUAAUUAAUCAAACGAAUAAGUUCGUUAAAGACCUCGGGAUAGUUUUGGACCUUAAGGCCCAAUGGGCUUCGAACGUCAAGCCCAUUAACAUAAGUUGUAUGACAACUUAAUGAAUAAUGAUUCACAAAAAGGCCCAAUUAGUCCAAAAUAUCCUAAUGGCCGGCCAUAUUGGUUAGGGUAGUGAACUUGGACUUAUUUACAAGUUUGCCACUCAAAUGAAUAAAGGUAUAAAUAUGACUUUAUAGCCAAAAUUCAUUAAGGGUUUGUUUUGGAGAAAAUUGGUGAGAACUUGUCUCUCCAUUUCUCUCUAAAGAGGCCGGCCACCUUGGGGGGUGCAUCUUGCAAUCCCACUACUCCAAGGUCACUCAUUUCUUCUCCAAUCUCUCCUUUGGUGAAGAGACUUAGAGGUUCUCAAUUUUGGGAACUUGGAGAAACCUAUUCUUCCAUCCAAAUCCAUAGAUUUUAGAUGCAAGGAAUGAAGGCCCUCUCUUUGGGUGAUUAGCCUUUGCUUAUGCAAAGAGGAAUCUACAAAGGUACAAUUUCAACUCACUUUGUUUUGAGUUGAGUUUUGGUUCACCAAUCUACUAGGCUUUGAAUUUCAUGGUUAAUGUUUUGUUUUUAAGUGCAUGCUAGCAUGAUUCCGCCUUUAAUUGUUAAUUGCAUGCUUAUUGAUGUUGCUUAAAUGAACAUGUUUUCACAAAAUCAUCCUUCAACAACAUUUUCAUUUGGUUUUUGUUUCCAUAGAAUUGAUUUAAAUGGAGCUAAAUGAAAUGAAAAUCCAAUUCUCAUUUAAAAAUACAAAACUAUUUUGUUCUCAACUAAUUUGGGCCAAAUGCAAUAACCUCAACUUUUGGGCUAUGUUGCAAAACACAAACUUUUGAGGUCACUUUGUAAGAACACAAAAGUCCACUACUUCAUGUAAUUACAACUAGAACCCAAAAAUUUCAUCAAAUAUAAAAACUUCAUUAAAGGAGCAAAACAAUUUGUCCUUUAGUGAUUUUGGGCCUUUACGUAAAAACGUAAACUUUCGGGUCAAAGUACAAAUACACAAAAGUAUCAAAACUUUAUGUAAUUGCAUAAAAGCCCCAAAAGUACCCUAUUUUAAUAGGGUGGCCGGUUGGUGAGAGUAAUGGAAAGUACCCUAUUUUCAACAAAAGUGAAAGGUGAUGAGUUGAAAAGGUGAUGGAAAGUUGUAAGAAAGUAGGUGUGGGCAUUGAUGGAAAAUUCAAACCAUCCAUCAUUAACAAAAACUUUAUUCAACAACCACAACUUUUGAAUCAAAAUACCCAACCUUUUUGUUCUUGCCAAAAACAUAAUAAGAACAAUGAAGAACAUCCAUGAAAACCCAUAAGAGCUUCAUGAACAUUUUUCACCCAAAGACACCCCAAAAACUCUUAAACUUAAGGGAAAUAAGAUAUUACCAUACUAGGGUACUUAGGGGUUCCUAAUGUCACUUUAAAACACUUUUAACAAGACAAACAUGAACCCAAAAAUCCACCCUUUGGAUUUGGCCGAAUUUCCCCAAAAACAUUUCACCAAAUUUUAGCUCCAAAAUUCAUGCUCAUAUGAACUACAUCUACAACAUUUGAGACGGCAAAUUUUCUAACAAAAUUUACAUUCAAAGAAGCUAGAAUAAGCUUGUAACAAUUACAACAUUCCAAUCAAAAACUAUGAACUACAAAACCCAAAAGGAUUCACCAACUACUAGACCUAGGCUCUUGAUACCACUUCAAGGAAAUUUUGUGAAAACAUGUUCAUUUGAGCAACAUCUAUGGCAUGCAAUUAACAUUUAAAGGCGGAAUCAUGCUUGUAUGUACUAAAAAACAAAACAUUACCCAUGAAAUUCAAAGCCUAGUAGAAAGGUGAACCAAGACUCAACUCAAGAACAAAGUGAGUUGAGAGAUUUUAUACCUUUGUUGAUUCCUCUUUGCAUAAGCAAAGGCUAAUCACCCAAGGAGAGGGCCUUCAUUCCUUGCUUCUUAGAUCCAUGGAUUUCUUGGAUGAGGAUGGUUGAAAGGAUUCUCCAAGUUCCCAAAGUUGAGAACCUCUAAUUUUUCCACACCAAGGAUUGACUUAAAGAAGAGAUAAGUGACCUUGGAGGAGGAAAGAUUGCUAGCUAAUCUCCUCCAAGAGGGCGGCCUCCUAGAGAGAAAGGGAGAGACAUGUUCUCUCCAAUUUUCUCCAAAAGAAACCCUAAAAGAAUUUUGGCUAUAAAGUUCUUUAUAUAGUCCCUUCAAUUAAGUGACCUAGAGAACAAAAGGCCUUUCUUUCAACAUAUGACCGGCCAUCUUAAGGCUUUUGGGCUGUUUGGGCCCUCUUGAAUCUUUAUUCAUUAAGUUGUCAUACAACUUAAGUUAAUGGUCUUGACAUUCGACGCCCAUUUGGCCUUAAUGCCCAAAACAAACUCGAGGUCUUUAACGAACUUUAUUCGUUUGAUUAAUUAACAUAUUAAUUAAUCCUUGCCAUAAAUAAUUAAACCAUUUAAUUAUCCUUACUUAUCUCCGUUGUUUCCUCAAUCUCUACCUUAUACGGUGUACGAUCCAUUAGGUUUCUUUUAGCGAGGCAGUGGACGAUUAGAACUCUUUCAAAUCGAUUGUGAAUUGAAACUUACUUUCAAUUCUCCCUUUAGUGAUUAUACACGUUAGGGCUUCCACAAACCAUGAGUGAUACGUACCAGUAUGUCAUAGUUACCCAAGCUAAUCAGAAGAGGUGGAGAACCUAUUCAGCUUAGGAUUACAAUGCAAUACGGUCUUUCUCUAAUACAAUACUCUUGACCACAUUGUUUGGUUUGAUAGUUUAA